RNAcentral lists this transfer RNA (70 nucleotides) under Babina holsti (dagger frog). RNAcentral's name for it is "tRNA-Thr". It matches the Rfam family "tRNA". From Rfam's summary of the family: Transfer RNA (tRNA) molecules are approximately 80 nucleotides in length. Lineage: Eukaryota; Metazoa; Chordata; Amphibia; Anura; Ranidae. The record is from RNAcentral.
GCCCUAGUAGCUUAACUCAAAGCACCGACCUUGUAAGCCGGAGACUGCAGCCUAACCCCUGCCUAGGGCU